This is an RNA transcript of Cyanidioschyzon merolae strain 10D, 2578 nucleotides long. RefSeq lists it as hypothetical. The record is from RefSeq and is a predicted model, not a curated record. The transcript has a single exon. Lineage: Eukaryota; Rhodophyta; Bangiophyceae; Cyanidiales; Cyanidiaceae.
CUGGUAACUAGCGCGCAACGUAAUUGUAUUCCGUGGCCGGGAGCGUGUCGUCGAAUGCUGUUUCGCGGUUGAUGGCAGGGGCGUUGACGUGCGUUCAUUUGAAUGAACGAAAAAAAUCCAAAGGAAAUGCAUGGAGAUAAAGGUCGGGGAUUCCAGAGGGCUGGCAUCUCUGGGUACCGUGAAAGGACUGAAAAUUCUCUUCUCGUUGACUAUCGGGCGUAGGAGAGCAAGUGACGAAAUGGAAGAAGAGAAGAUAUCAUCGAGACAAGGCGUUUGUCCUACGGGACGAUGACGGGACUAUAGUGGGACGGAGGAUGCGAGCUCUAGGAAUCCUGGCAAUCAUGCGUUUCACUGGAGGCAAUAAACGCAAGGAAACCGUGAACCGGGACUUCAACGCCGCCAUCAAUACCAGAUGAUGCGCGGCGCUGGAGACGAGACCCGAGGAGCAGAGGCGAGCGAGCUUUGUGGGGCCCCCUCUGAGGCUCGAUGUCUACGUCGAGGAAAGUGAUACCGAGCGCAGGCGGUCGGUCAAGAAAGGUUGGGCAGCGUCUGCGCGUGGACACGUACGUAGAUCUUCCAUGGCUGCGAAACGUUUGCGUUUACUGUCAUGUUUAGUAGAGUUUUUUGGUUUGACACGUCGUCUACAGCGACGAUAGAUCCCAGAUUGCGGGAUGGAAUCUGGUAUUCGGGAAAGCAUCGAACAUGCAGCACCCUACCUUCAAGCUUUGUAACCCCGAAUGCUUCUCGUAUAUAUUGGUAGUUUCGUACAGUCUAUUGCGCAUCGAGUGCCUGCCCUGAGCACCCGCUACAGCGCUUAUACCGCUGGUGCGCAUGCAGCACAGUAACGGAACGCCUUUGCCAUACGACUUGGGGCGUCGCCUGGAGGCGAACUGCCCCUGAACCAGGCUCCGGUCUUGUCGCCGCUGCGCGACGCUCUGGAGAAACCAGACAGCAGCUAGGAUGAAUCCUGAGCGCCGCCUCUCACGUUCGCGAUGUUGUACGCAAAGCGUUGUCGGUUGGCGACGCGGGCUUUUGCUUGGCAUUCACCAGUGAGCAGGUGUGCAAGGCACCGGGCCUUCCGACGAGAAGGUAGAAUGUGAGUUUGCUGGCCGCUACUGAGCGUUGGGGCUCGCUCAGUUACGAGACCGACGCCUCAAUCGAUACGAGCGCGGAUGGAUUGGACGGGCGUAUGCGGCCUGUGGGGUGGUCUUGUGCCACAGGCGCUUCCGCUGACGGGUACGCGGUGCGCUCGGAGCUCGGGUGCUCUGCGCGUUUGUUACGGAGUAUUGGGGUCAGCGCUGGACACGUUCAGGUACGGAGUAGGAAAAUAAGCAUGCAUAGGAUGGGGGUUUGUUGUCUUGUGCGCACACUUGUUUCGGAAUGAAGCGGAACGUGUCUAUGGAGCCAGGUAGGUUGUGCGCGCUAACGCCUGGGUCUGUUGCUAGUGGUACCAGUACCAGCUUUGGUGGACCUUUCCAGCGGCGGAUUUGUUUGCCGGUCCCUUAGUUUUGGAUUUAAAUGGGCAGGUCUUUCGUGUUGCUCCAGCUCCGUUGCCGGCAGUCGAAAGACGGCGAAAGCAGGUCAAGUCCCGAAUGGUCUGCUUUGCGUAGUUGACGACACAUCCCGUGCACAAGUAGUUGCUGCGGUCGACGAUUCGCUUCCCAUGCUCAUUUUCCUUGUAUGCAGCAUCGGUGCGCGAGUCGCAGCAGCAGUACUCGGCUGUGGUCAGGUGUUCUCAUAUGACCAAUAGACUUGUUCCCCGUUUGAGAGCAGGUCUGUGGCGUACGAACACCUGCUUCGGCGCUCGUUGCGUACCCUUCACGGGCACCGAAGGCGUCAGUCGGUACCCGCUUCCAUCAGCGAGCCCGGUGCCGUAGCCGCCGAUCACUGGCCUCCGCUGGGGUAUCCCGUCGACGAGUACGGUGACCGUUGCAAACGCGUACCCUGUUGCCUUCCAUAGAGGAUUUGUGGAACGCGAUGUUCCAUAUAAUGAAACGAGGAACGGAAGAAGAAUCAAGGCCGGAGAACAAGUUGAGGAAACUCGAUCCGUCUUGGCUUCUUUCAUGCAGCGCAGUGAAGCAUUCUUUAUUGGAAUCGAUUGCUGGGAUGGCUCAAGUCCGAGUCCAAGACCUUCGUCUGCGCAGGAUUGAGGACACGACGCGGGCCCUGCUGGAGGUUAUCGCGUAACAGGCAUCACGCUACAGUCGAGACCAGUUUCGCCGAUGACCCUGCAGCCAAUACGUAUUUCUCUUUCGAGCACGAAUCGGCUACUUGACUUGAGACGUCCACUGAGCAUUCGGAUGGAGCCUGUAACCAAGUCCUCUGUGGACAAGGUCCAGUUUCUCGCCUCGUGAACAGCGCUGUGCGAAUCGCUGGGCGCACCUGACGCUUUGAAACACAAAAGAUCCAAAACUUGAUGCGUCCUUGAUCCGAGCAUGCUACUCGCACGGAAAGGCCAAGAGUGAAUGCUCCUACGCAUGGUUUUGAGAAUGAUAUCCGUUAUUUUAGAAUUCCGUGUUUGAAUGCGUUGCGAAUUGACUUGCUUUCCGUAACGCAACGAAUACCAGCCGCAAAGCGU